AGCAGCCGCGGUAAUUCCAGCUCCAAUCGCGUAUAUUAAAGUUGUUGCAGUUAAAAAGCUCGUAGUUGAAUUUCGGGACCAAUUUGUUGGUCGUGCCUCGGUACGUACUGGUAUUAUUGGCUUCUCCCUUCUGAAGAACCUCGAUGCCAUUAAUUUGGUGUCGUGGGGAAUCAGGACUGUUACUUUGAAAAAAUUAGAGUGUUUAAAGCAAGCAUACGCUUGAAUACAUUAGCAUGGAAUAAUGAAAUAGGACGUUUGAUUCUAUUUUGUUGGUUUCUAGGAUCGACGUAAUGAUUAAUAGGGAUAGUUGGGGGCAUUAGUAUUCAAUUGUCAGAGGUGAAAUUCUUGGAUUUAUUGAAGACUAACUACUGCGAAAGCAUUUGCCAAGGAUGUUUUCAUUAAUCAAGAACGAAAGUUAGGGGAUCGAAGACGAUCAGAUACCGUCGUAGUCUUAACCAUAAACUAUGCCGACUAGGGAUCGGAUGAUGUUAAUUUUUUAAUGACUCAUUCGGCGCCUUAC
Molecule: unclassified non-coding RNA, 520 nt
Filed under: uncultured Glomus
Lineage: Eukaryota; Fungi; Glomeromycota; Glomeromycetes; Glomerales; Glomeraceae
Description: SSU rRNA
Rfam family: Eukaryotic small subunit ribosomal RNA
Source: RNAcentral